AAUUUCUGUUUAAUCUUAAUAGCCUUGGUUAUUCAUUACUGAGCGCAAAGGGAGUAGGAAGAAUUGGAUUGUAUUACUUGAGGCUAACCACAGACAUCUGAAGCCAAACAUUUAUGACUCCCAAUCAGUAAUCUCCAUUCUACCCCAUUUGCUUCUUCUCUUCUCCAUAAAGUUUAUGAUAAUGGAACUCUUCUGAGGCAUUCUGGGUACUGAGAGGUGAAAGGGAACCUGAUGAGAACAUGGAAGAGGCCCCAGCAGGCAAGAACCCAGGUUAAGACCCCUUCCCCCUCAUGAUUCUCCCCAGGCCACGGAUGUUUCUUUAUAGAACCACAGACUCUGUUCUGGAAAUCUCCUCAUCAUUCAUCUCACUGAUAGGCUCACAAUCCAGACAUAUCCAUCCAGACACAAUCUAUUCAGAAUGGGUCUGUUGAAAGGCAGAGAGAGAACACAGGACAGAUGAAGGUAUGUGAUUAUUAAUGUUUUUAGUUUGAUUGAUCAGAACCUUUAAUAUUGCCAAGAGAUCAUUAAAAUUAAAGAAUGACUUCAUUUUAAAGAACCACACAAUACUUUCUCUUGAACAUUACAUUCUUUCUAAUCAAGUAAUUUCUCUCCUUGAGGAAAGCGUUUGGGAACAGUGACUGCUACAGUAGAUUUGGUCUCUGAGCUUCAGAUUCUAUGUCACCUAUAAAUUUGUGUACUUUUUGCAGGCUAGGAAGGGUAAGAAAUGACAGUUUUAUUUAAAAAACCAUUUCUCCUGGAUAGAUAGAGCUAACUCCACACAUGUACCUACAGGCACAUACUCAGGGACUGUUAAACAGCUUCAAAGCAUUUGUGCACUUUCCUCCCUCAUUUAGUCCCUCUUUUUUGUAUCUUCCUUCUCUCACUGUCAUCUGACUAUACAAAAUUUACAAAUAGGCUCUAAUAUCACCAUUCUGAGUGUUCCCUUGAAUCCUCUAGCUACUUUCUAAUUGCUACUCUGCUUUCUUACCCAGAGUUCCAGAAUGGAGCCACUUCUCAGCUCACUGUAAUUCACCUUGUACAUCUGGAGUAAAACUUGACAACUACUCCAUUUCCUUGCCUACUAUAUUCAGUAAAACUUCUA
This 1102-nucleotide long non-coding RNA is filed under the name Vulpes vulpes (red fox). RNAcentral describes it as "lncRNA (ENSVVUG00000011691.1)". Lineage: Eukaryota; Metazoa; Chordata; Mammalia; Carnivora; Canidae. The record is from RNAcentral.